UAAAUAUUGACUUUGGAAUGUGGUUUCAGGAUAAGAAUGGUUGUACACCACCAGAUAACAAUAAGUGAUGUACAUUACACAUUGUCUUGCUUACAACAAGCAAUGCAAAUGAUUCAGGAACCAAGCCUAAACCAAACCGGCAAAACCGAAAAUGCUCUCUCUUUUUAAAUGUUGUUUGUCUAAGUUAUAUCUAAUUGUAAACAAUAAGGAUCGCUCGAUCUGUCAAUGCAAUUGUCACCCUAUAA
Molecule: long non-coding RNA, 245 nt
Organism: Brassica napus (rape)
Lineage: Eukaryota; Viridiplantae; Streptophyta; Magnoliopsida; Brassicales; Brassicaceae
Exons: 2
Source: RefSeq, a predicted model, not a curated record